RNAcentral lists this small RNA (226 nucleotides) under Histoplasma ohiense. RNAcentral describes it as "hypothetical lncRNA". Lineage: Eukaryota; Fungi; Ascomycota; Eurotiomycetes; Onygenales; Ajellomycetaceae. The record is from RNAcentral.
AACGGCUCAUUUAGGUCGCAUGUUGUAGCUCCUGAGAAGCUUUGUGCGAAGAUUCCAAGUAGUCUCAUUUUCGAAGACGCUGCAACAAUGCCAGCAGUAUUUGGCACGGCAGUCUAUUCGCUACUCCAUCUUGGGGGUUUGCAAAGACAUCAGUCUGUCCUUAUCCAUAGCGCCUGCGGUGGUGUUGGCCUGGCUGCUAUACAGCUUGCGCGCAUGGUCGGCGCCG